UGACGAUGCGACGCCGCGUGAAGGAUGAAGGUCUUCGGAUCGUAAACUUCUUUUAGUAGGGAAGAAUCUUGUGGGGUUGAAUAGGCCCUGCAGGUGACGGUACCUACAGAAAAAGCCACGGCUAACUCCGUGCCAGCAGCCGCGGUAAUACGGAGGUGGCGAGCGUUGCUCGGAUUUAUUGGGUGUAAAGGGUCUGUAGGCGGUUCUGUAAGUCGAAUGUGAAAUCCCACCGCUCAACGGUGGAACUGCAUUCGAAACUGCAGGACUUGAGUCAGGGAGAGGAGAGGGGAAUUCCCGGUGUAAGGGUGAAAUCUGUAGAGAUCGGGAGGAACACCAGUGGCGAAGGCGCCUCUCUGGCCCAUGACUGACGCUGAGCGACGAAAGCUAGGGGAGCAAACAGGAUUAGAUACCCUGGUAGUCCUAGCCGUAAACGAUGAGGACUAGGUGCCGGUUCGUUAAGGAUCGGUGCCGAAGUUAACACAUUAAGUCCUCCACCUGGGGAGUACGUCCGCAAGGAUGAAACUCAAAGGAAUUGACGGGGACCCGCACAAGCGGUGGAGCAUGUGGUUUAAUUGGAUGCUACACCAGAAACCUUACCAGGGCUUGACAUGUACAUGAAAGGCCAUCGAAAGA
This 633-nucleotide ribosomal RNA is filed under the name uncultured bacterium. RNAcentral describes it as "bacterial SSU rRNA". It matches the Rfam family "Bacterial small subunit ribosomal RNA", at positions 384 to 1008 of the family's 1533-position model. The record is from RNAcentral.